RNAcentral lists this small RNA (26 nucleotides) under Bombyx mori (domestic silkworm). Its description in RNAcentral is "ovarian small RNA-12373". Lineage: Eukaryota; Metazoa; Arthropoda; Insecta; Lepidoptera; Bombycidae. The record is from RNAcentral.
AUAGGAGUUUCGCCAGACUGGUCUGA